RNAcentral lists this ribosomal RNA (377 nucleotides) under uncultured bacterium. RNAcentral's name for it is "bacterial SSU rRNA". It matches the Rfam family "Bacterial small subunit ribosomal RNA", at positions 28 to 404 of the family's 1533-position model. The record is from RNAcentral.
GACGAACGCUGGCGGCGUGCUUAACACAUGCAAGUCGAGCGGUAAGGCCCUUUCGGGGGUACACGAGCGGCGAACGGGUGAGUAACACGUGGGUGACCUGCCCUCAGCUCUGGGAUAAGCCCGGGAAACUGGGUCUAAUACUGGAUAUGACUCCACGGUGCAUGCCGUGGGGUGGAAAGGCCCUUGUGCGGCUGAGGAUGGGCCCGCGGCCUAUCAGCUUGUUGGUGGGGUGAUGGCCUACCAAGGCGACGACGGGUAGCCGGCCUGAGAGGGCGACCGGCCACACUGGGACUGAGACACGGCCCAGACUCCUACGGGAGGCAGCAGUGGGGAAUCUUGCGCAAUGGGCGAAAGCCUGACGCAGCGACGCCGCGUGA